Molecule: long non-coding RNA, 539 nt
Organism: Danio aesculapii
Lineage: Eukaryota; Metazoa; Chordata; Actinopteri; Cypriniformes; Danionidae
Exons: 4
Source: RefSeq, a predicted model, not a curated record
UUUUCUUAUGUCUGCCAGAGUUUGAACACAAGGACUCUCUUUUCCUGACAAGUCUCUAUUUGGAUAAGAGACCUUUCAAGUAUAAAUUUGGAUGGGCAAUUCGGUGCUUCCAACUUUGCAGAAACGGGGUGUGGCCAGGCUCUAAGCUUCAAGAGGACCUUCUAAAAGUUCCGGUUUUCUGAACAUUGUAUCCUGUGUGUAAGAGACCUCUCUUCAGUCAAGUCUGGACCCAGUCAGACGCCAGUCUUAAGGAUAAUUGAUGAGAGAUCAUGCCAGUCCAUAUUGAAAUAGUGACUACAUGCAAGACUUCAAGCAGUACUACAUUUCAAGUUUGGAACAUACACAGUCCUGUGUCUUCCGUCAAGUGUGGGCUCAAUACUAUUGUUCAACCAGAGCAAGCAGCCCUGAUGGAUGUACAGUAUAUGUCUUCAUUGAUUAUCCUUACUUUUAUAUAUGGACACAUUUUAUUUCCAACAUCAACACGCCUUUGUGAGUACACUGGUCAAGUUAUUGGAUCAGCUCAAACUGUUUUAACACAG